Molecule: long non-coding RNA, 578 nt
Filed under: Pan troglodytes (chimpanzee)
Lineage: Eukaryota; Metazoa; Chordata; Mammalia; Primates; Hominidae
Description: long non-coding RNA NONPTRT007281
Source: RNAcentral
GGGACCGUCCAGGGGCUCCAAGACCAACAGGAGCAUGUGGUAGCCACGUCACAACCCAAGACCACGUGGCAUCAGGACAAGAAAGAUCUAUGUGGGCAGUGUUCGUCCUUAGGCUGCCUCAUCCGGAUAUUGAUUGACGGGAUCUCUCUCGGGCUCACCCUGCGCCUAUGGGACGUGUAUCUGGUAGAAGGCGAACAGGCGUUGAUGCCGAUAACAAGAAUCGCCUUUAAGGUUCAGCAGAAGCGCCUCACGAAGACGUCCGGGUGUGGCCCGUGGGCACGUUUUUGGAACCGGUUCGUUGAUACCUGGGCCAGGGAUGAUGACACUGUGCUCAAGCAUCUUAGGGCCUCUAUGAAGAAACUAACAAGAAAGCAGGGGGACCUGCCACCCCCAGGUGGGCUCCAGUGCCAUGUCCCCUCCCAUGUCCCCCUCUGGGGUAGUCAAUAGUAGGGGAGUGCCUGGGACCCGCAACCCUACUACCUGGGCCUUCCUCUUCACCUUUUCUUCCUCCUCUUCCUCCCGGACUCUAAGAAAGUACAGGAGGCCCACCGGUCCUCAGGGCAGGCGCUCAGUGCGUG